Molecule: long non-coding RNA, 809 nt
Organism: Cucurbita moschata (crookneck pumpkin)
Lineage: Eukaryota; Viridiplantae; Streptophyta; Magnoliopsida; Cucurbitales; Cucurbitaceae
Exons: 2
Source: RefSeq, a predicted model, not a curated record
CUUACUAAAUCACUCGAAAUCAUUUCUUACCUCAUUUUUAUUUUAAAUAAUUUUCGAUUCUGCGUUAGAUUUUGACAAUAUGCCAUCAGGGGUAAAAUAGUCAUUUUCUAAAAGUAUAGACGGCCAAAGGAUUUGAGUCGACCGUAGUAAUUCUCUCAAUCAUUUUCUUAAAUCGUCAAUGCUUAAUCAUUUGCGUUUCCACAAGGGAAGUGUUUAUUUAAGAAACACUCUUUCCCACAGCCUCAAACCACAGAAAGCAAGAAAAAUGAAGUCCAUUGUUGUAAUAUGCUUCAUUCUGAGCUUAGUUGCAGGCAGGUCCACAGCCUCCUUUGGGAAGUGCUACGCCAAGUGCUUCAUUGUGUGUGCUAUCACACCAGGCGUCCCUAUUGGCACAUGCGGCGGAAAGUGCUUGGCCGAUUGCCUCUUCCUUGCCUCUGCCCCUAGAGAUCUCAACCGUUUGGACACUCAUUAUUUCUGCAAACUUGGCUGCGCCACUUCUCUCUGCACCAAAUUUAGCACCAAGACAGACCCGGCUGAGAAGAAAGUGGAAAGUUGUGUGAACUCGUGCUCUCGAACAUGUUUGAAGGCUUAAAACUGAGGAGCUGGGACUGGCUUUAAAGACAAUAAGUGUCGGUGGUGAAGACCAAACACCAUUGGACUCUAAGCUUGUCCCAUAUCUACUAAGCAUGUUUUGAUAUAUCUAUAUGCUUUCUAGUUUCUGCAUGUACUCGUCCUCGUCCUCGUCGUCACUGUGUAAUAAUCAAGGUUGCUUUUCGUUGCUAUAGUACUGGGAAUGAUGUUUGGUGAUA